GUCUUUUUAGUACAAUAAGUAUUUACGGCUUCCAACCAUAAGACCUUGGUGAAAGCCCAAGAAAAGAUA
Molecule: transfer RNA, 69 nt
Filed under: Cetonurus globiceps (globehead grenadier)
Lineage: Eukaryota; Metazoa; Chordata; Actinopteri; Gadiformes; Macrouridae
Description: tRNA-Gly
Rfam family: tRNA
About the family: Transfer RNA (tRNA) molecules are approximately 80 nucleotides in length. Their secondary structure includes four short double-helical elements and three loops (D, anti-codon, and T loops).
Source: RNAcentral